This 443-nucleotide ribosomal RNA is filed under the name uncultured bacterium. RNAcentral's name for it is "bacterial SSU rRNA". It matches the Rfam family "Bacterial small subunit ribosomal RNA", at positions 338 to 795 of the family's 1533-position model. The record is from RNAcentral.
CCUACGGGAGGCAGCAGUAGGGAAUUUUGCGCAAUGGGCGAAAGCCUGACGCAGCAAUGCCGCGUGUAGGAAGAAGCAUCUUGGUGUGUAAACUACUGUCGGCGGGGACAAAUAAAGUGAUGGUACCCGCAAAGGAAGCAUCGGCUAACUACGUGCCAGCAGCCGCGGUAAGACGUAGGAUGCAAGCGUUGUCCGGAUUUAUUGGGCGUAAAGAGUUCGUAGGUGGCAAUCCAAGUCUAAUGUGAAAUCAUAGGGCUCAACCCUAUUCCCGCAUUAGAUACUGGGUAGCUUGAGCAAGGUAGGGGUCAGAAGAAUUCCUGGUGUAGCGGUGAAAUGCGUAGAUAUCAGGAGGAACACCGGUGGCGAAAGCGUCUGACUGGGCCUUUGCUGACACUGAGGAACGAGAGCUAGGGGAGCGAAAGGGAUUAGAUACCCCAGUAGUC